GACGAACGCUGGCGGCGUGCCUAAUACAUGCAAGUAGAACGCUGAAGAGAGGAGCUUGCUCUUCUUGGAUGAGUUGCGAACGGGUGAGUAACGCGUAGGUAACCUGCCUUGUAGCGGGGGAUAACUAUUGGAAACGAUAGCUAAUACCGCAUAACAAUGGAUGACACAUGUCAUUUAUUUGAAAGGGGCAAUUGCUCCACUACAAGAUGGACCUGCGUUGUAUUAGCUAGUAGGUGAGGUAAUGGCUCACCUAGGCGACGAUACAUAGCCGACCUGAGAGGGUGAUCGGCCACACUGGGACUGAGACACGGCCCAGACUCCUACGGGAGGCAGCAGUAGGGAAUCUUCGGCAAUGGGGGCAACCCUGACCGAGCAACGCCGCGUGAGUGAAGAAGGGUUUCGGAUCGGAAAGCUCUGUUGUAAGUCAAGAACGGGUGUGAGAGUGGAAAGUUCACACUGUGACGGUAGCUUACCAGAAAGGGACGGCUAACUACGUG
This 497-nucleotide ribosomal RNA is filed under the name uncultured bacterium. Its description in RNAcentral is "partial 16S ribosomal RNA". It matches the Rfam family "Bacterial small subunit ribosomal RNA", at positions 28 to 507 of the family's 1533-position model. The record is from RNAcentral.